AGCAGCCGCGGUAAUUCCAGCUCCAAUAGCGUAUAUUAAAGUUGUUGCAGUUAAAAAGCUCGUAGUUGAAUUUCGGGGUUAGUAGAUUGGUCGUGCCACGGGUAUGUACUGGUCUUACUGAUUCCUCCUUCCUGAUGAACCGUAAUGCCAUUAAUUUGGUGUUGCGGGGAGACUGGACUGUUACUUUGAAAAAUUAGAGUGUUUAAAGCAAGCCUACGCUUGAAUACAUUAGCAUGGAAUAAUGAAAUAGGACGUUCGAUCCUAUUUUGUUGGUUUCUAGGAUUGACGUAAUGAUUAAUAGGGAUAGUUGGGGGCAUUAGUAUUCAAUUGUCAGAGGUGAAAUUCUUGGAUUUAUUGAAGACUAACUACUGCGAAAGCAUUUGCCAAGGAUGUUUUCAUUAAUCAAGAACGAGAGUUAGAGGUUCGAAGGCGAUCAGAUACCGCCCUAGU
RNAcentral lists this ribosomal RNA (450 nucleotides) under uncultured Glomeromycotina. RNAcentral's name for it is "SSU rRNA". It matches the Rfam family "Eukaryotic small subunit ribosomal RNA", at positions 569 to 1024 of the family's 1831-position model. Lineage: Eukaryota; Fungi; Glomeromycota. The record is from RNAcentral.